CGGGACGGGUGAGUAACGCGUGGGUAACCUACCCUGUACACACAGAUAACAUACCGAAAGGUAUGCUAAUACGGGAUAAUAUAUUUGAGAGGCAUCUCUUGAAUAUCAAAGGUGAGCCAGUACAGGAUGGACCCGCGUCUGAUUAGCUAGUUGGUAAGGUAACGGCUUACCAAGGCGACGAUCAGUAGCCGACCUGAGAGGGUGAUCGGCCACAUUGGAACUGAGACACGGUCCAA
Molecule: ribosomal RNA, 236 nt
Filed under: uncultured bacterium
Lineage: Bacteria
Description: partial 16S ribosomal RNA
Rfam family: Bacterial small subunit ribosomal RNA
Source: RNAcentral